UACGUAGGGGGCAAGCGUUGUCCGGAUUUAUUGGGCGUAAAGAGCGUGUAGGCGGCCAGAUAGGUCUGUUGUGAAAACUCGAGGCUCAACCUCGAGACGCCGAUGGGAACCAUCUGGCUGAGACGAUCGGAAGAGGAGAGUGGAAUUCCUGGUGUAGCGGUGAAAUGCGCAGAUAUCAGGAAGAACACCCGUGGCUAAGGCGGCUCUCUAGUACGGUACUGACGCUGAGACGCGAAAGCGUGGGGAGCGAACAGG
RNAcentral lists this ribosomal RNA (255 nucleotides) under uncultured bacterium. RNAcentral's name for it is "partial 16S ribosomal RNA". It matches the Rfam family "Bacterial small subunit ribosomal RNA", at positions 524 to 776 of the family's 1533-position model. The record is from RNAcentral.